Long non-coding RNA from Micropterus dolomieu (smallmouth bass), 865 nucleotides. RefSeq lists it as uncharacterized. The transcript has 3 exons. The record is from RefSeq and is a predicted model, not a curated record. Lineage: Eukaryota; Metazoa; Chordata; Actinopteri; Centrarchiformes; Centrarchidae.
GGUUGCCACAUGUAACCCUCUGAUGUUUAGGAAAACACAAGAAAAAAGGUGAAACCCAAAAAAGACGACAGAACGUACAUGUCACUGCAGAAGACAGACCCAUCACCAGAGUAUGAUGUUAUUGGCCAACCUCAGAACUAACAAGCGUCACCUUCCACUGAAUUUGGGGAAGAUGGCAGGACCAUCGUCUGACUGAUUUGUUAAAUCAGGGCUUUUCAAAGUCUGGGACUGUGGGCCACCCCUCAGACAUAGUUUGGGAAAAGGCACACCCUCACCACCCCUAAGUUUACUUGCUUAGUUUUGCAUGCUUAUACCAGGAAAGGAAACUUCCUGAAUCCUUGCUGUUGCACAAAGAUGGGAGAAAUUGAAAAGUGAAGAGUCAGAACCACUCAGCAGAAAUCACUGUGGAGAAAAGAGAGUAGGAGAACAAGCUAGAGUGUAACAUUGUCCUGUGGAGGGAGAGACUGAAUGUCUCAAGCAUCCAAUCAGGAUGUUUGCUCUCAUCUGGGUGACUUUGCUUUUCUCUGUGAGAGGCAGUAAUGCAGACACAGGUAUGCAUCAUUACUGGAUUUGGCUGGGAUUGGCUCCAGCCCCCCUGUACGCAGGAUAAGCGUUUGAUGAUGGAUGGAUGUCCUUCCUGAGGUGCUUCAGUUUUUCCACCCUGAAUUUACCAGCUCAUUAGCACCUGAGAGUCACCUGCUGCCCCUGUGUUCCUGCUAGACAUCCUCUGCUACAAUUAUUAUAACUAGUCCUUUUGUUAUUAUUUUUGUUAUUAAUGUUAUUAACACUACUAUAAAUAUCUGUACCAUUAUUCAUUUUCAGUCUGUACCAUUAUUACCUUUACAAGCUGUACUUCUGUGUGGAU